This 1066-nucleotide long non-coding RNA is filed under the name Anser brachyrhynchus (Pink-footed goose). Its description in RNAcentral is "lncRNA (ENSABRG00000005688.1)". Lineage: Eukaryota; Metazoa; Chordata; Aves; Anseriformes; Anatidae. The record is from RNAcentral.
AUUAAGUGAAGAAAAACAUUAGAUGUCAAAAAUACUGACUAGAAUUCAGUGUGGUUGGGAACAGUUGCAAUGCCCAUGGCUUGAACAGGGAACAAGAAAUUGUUCACGACAGCAGCAAAAGCCUGAGCGCAGAAUGGCCUUUCUGAAGCUGAAAGGAAGGAUGUUACUGGCUGGAAACAUCUGUCUUCUACAAAGGAAUACCUAUGGCUCACACCUUUUACCGUAUUUAACAAAGUCUGUGCAUCAGAUACGUGUCAGGUCAGAAUGGAAACAUUUUACUCCCUCCACUGAGCAUCUCCUAGGAGAGUGUUUUUCACUGAAAAACAGUUUUCACUGGUGCAAGCAUUCAGGAUGAGGAAGCCCAGGAUUAAGAAGUUACAAGUGACUUCCAUAUGGCCCACUCUUGUAUAUCAUAACUGGUAGUGAUUUUCUGCAAACUUUAAAGAGAUUACCUUAAUGUACCUGAAGAUAUCUGUCCAGUGGAAACUCAUGGAGGAAGAUUUUGGCUAUUAGAGGAAGAGAGAAGCAGUUGAAUUUAAGAUAUCAUGAAAGGUCAGGAUGAGGGUCAUGUCUAUUGAAAGAAACAUUUGCUGGUGUUCACAGAAACUAUCUGAGAUUAUGGUCUGAGCUAUUUGAGAUUGUAUCACUGCAUUCACUAAAGAUCUACUUUCCACAUCUCCCAAAGCGAUCAGGAAACCUGAUACUUCCCAAACUGCUACUGAAGUCACUGCUGCCAUUGAAUUACACUAGCUACAUUCUUCAAAUUGAAGUGCCCUUCAAUUUAAAUAUGAUUUUUGGGGACUGCCCAAAACAUGAGUCAUUUCUUCACUGACAGUUUUUCAAAAAUUUUUGCCUGUCUGUUAGCAGAUACCUGUCUUUCUGCUAAAUAAGCCAAGGAUUCUGUUAGCUGUACUAGUUGUGUGGAGUAAAUCACCCUUUGGCCUCUGAAUGCAGUAACCUUUCCACUCUAGCCAUGAAGUAAUUGAUGGAGUAGUACAGGAAAGGUUGCAUUCUUGCUGUCUGGCAAAAUAAUAAAUAAAAAUGUAUCAUUUCUUAAUGGACUUUG